RNAcentral lists this signal recognition particle RNA (292 nucleotides) under Desulfobacteraceae bacterium. RNAcentral describes it as "signal recognition particle sRNA large type". The stretch from base 155 to 252 matches the Rfam family "Bacterial small signal recognition particle RNA". Lineage: Bacteria; Pseudomonadati; Thermodesulfobacteriota; Desulfobacteria; Desulfobacterales; Desulfobacteraceae. The record is from RNAcentral.
CGGCGCGGGCGGCAUCACGCCUCCCGAUAAAUUGACUCUUGUAAAACGCACCGAAUCAGAUAUGCUAUCAAUCUAUUUUGCCGACGUCGGCACACUCGCUGCCGACGUUCCAUCCAACACCGUCGGCAAGCGCAGAGGGCCCCCGGAUUUUCAAUGCCGGUCGCCACGUAACAGCCGGUCACGAACCUCGUCAGAUCCGGAAGGAAGCAGCGAUAAGUGACGCAGGCCGUGUCGUGGUCCGUUCCGGCGGAGCAAUCUCCGGGGGCCCUUUUCGCUUGCCCAAGGUGCACCG